Lolium perenne is the source of this 1065-nucleotide non-coding RNA. Lineage: Eukaryota; Viridiplantae; Streptophyta; Magnoliopsida; Poales; Poaceae. The record is from RefSeq and is a predicted model, not a curated record.
UGUGUAUCAUUGCUGAUAGUUCGAGUUUAGAUUCUGAUAUUUGACAUCUGUUGACCUUAAAAAUAUGUCCAACUCCAUUUCACAACAUUGGUUGAAAAAUGCACACCUUUGGAUGGCAUCAUGAUUUUUUCUACUAUAUUCUGUUGAGCCACUAGCAGCUUCAAAAAUUCCCCGUUUCCAGUUUAAGGUGCAUGCUCAUUUACUACUAUCUCUAUGGUCUUACCUCUUAUCUGAUUGCAGCUAAUGUUUAUUAUAGGAUUUGAGGCUAGAUAAUAUAUUGUCAAAUUCUAAUUGUAAAAUGAAAAUAUAUAAUGUCAGUCUAGCGUGACUGUCAUUUAUUGAGACUCCUAUGACUGUAUUCUGGAUGGUAUGUGGGUUUUGCUAGACUAGAAUGACAUACUUAUUAUUUGCCAAAUUAGAUUCGUAUGUAAGGAUAGUCUUUUAUCAAUUAAUUUUCAUCUUAUAUUAAUGACUUCUAAAGGAUUAUGUCACUGUUAGAUGUAUAUGGCCCAUGAGUUGUGUGGGUCCUUCACUGAGGUAAUUAGUUUGCACAUUUAAGUCCAGUAAAAUCACUGAGACAACAAUUGAAUAUUCGUUUAAGUCGGAGAAAAAAGCAACACAUGAUGAUGAAUCGAUACAAAUGAAAAUCAGGAGUCGACAUGAACUUGACGAGGUAAUGAGCCUUCUGGUUUACUCUUUCAAUAUCAAUGAUCAACAACAACUUGAGGAUGAUUUUACUAUCCCCAAGGCUACAGUAGACAUUCUAAAGGACCAAGUUUUUGGUUGUGUACAUGUUAUUCAUGACCAACCAUGAGCCAUAGAGCAGUGGCAUCACAAAGCACUGAGUAGCAUGAGGUGGCACCGCAUGAGCAACAACAGCUCCCUGCGUGACGGGAUCCUCCUCCCAACGGUCGGAUCAUCCUUCUGUGAAUCACAUGCUGAUCAAUAUUUACCACUCCUUGCCUGUUGUGCGAGAUAUCAUCCAGUACUCAAACUUUUGUCUAUUGGUUUUAUAUUUUGGUACAAUAGCUACAGUGAUUAAUAUUUGAUGGCAUGCUUGUUUCA